CCUUCUUUUCCUCCCCCUUCCCUUCAGCCAUUCCAAGGGCUUUUUAUAAUUUGUGAAGGGAAAACUGCCAACAGCUCAAGAUGUCAAGGCCAUCCCUCAAAACUCACUCGGAACCCCAAACCUGGUGCCUGUGCUGCUCAGGCCC
Molecule: long non-coding RNA, 145 nt
Organism: Perognathus longimembris pacificus (Pacific pocket mouse)
Lineage: Eukaryota; Metazoa; Chordata; Mammalia; Rodentia; Heteromyidae
Exons: 3
Source: RefSeq, a predicted model, not a curated record